UACGGAAGGCAGCAGUGGGGAAUAUUGCACAAUGGGCGCAAGCCUGAUGCAGCCAUGCCGCGUGUAUGAAGAAGGCCUUCGGGUUGUAAAGUACUUUCAGUCGUGAGGAAGGUGUUAAGGUUAAUAACCUUAGCAAUUGACGUUAGCGACAGAAGAAGCACCGGCUAACUCCGUGCCAGCAGCCGCGGUAAUACGGAGGGUGCGAGCGUUAAUCGGAAUUACUGGGCGUAAAGGGCACGCAGGCGGUUAAUUAAGUUGGAUGUGAAAUCCCCGGGCUUAACCUGGGAAUGGCAUUCAAGACUGGUUAGCUAGAGUCUUGUAGAGGGGGUAGAAUUCCAUGUGUAGCGGUGAAAUGCGUAGAGAUGUGGAGGAAUACCGGUGGGCGAAGGCGGCCCCUGGGACAAAGGACUGACGCUCAUGUGCGAAAGCGUGGGGAGCAAACAGGGAUUAGAUACC
This 456-nucleotide ribosomal RNA is filed under the name uncultured bacterium. Its description in RNAcentral is "bacterial SSU rRNA". It matches the Rfam family "Bacterial small subunit ribosomal RNA", at positions 340 to 786 of the family's 1533-position model. The record is from RNAcentral.